Molecule: long non-coding RNA, 901 nt
Organism: Mauremys reevesii (Reeves's turtle)
Lineage: Eukaryota; Metazoa; Chordata; Testudines; Geoemydidae
Exons: 5
Source: RefSeq, a predicted model, not a curated record
CCGCCUCCCCAGUAAUUCACUAUAUACCUGCCUGCUCCUUUAACGAAGAAAAUAUUUAUUUGUAUGGUGCACUUGAAUACAGCUCCUUAAAGAAAAUAUUUUGCUGGAGGGGAACAAAAUGCGAGAUGAUUCCCCCCGGGGAGGGGGGGGGGCUGAAAAUGGUUUCUUCCACUGCCGCGGAUCGUGCCAGGGACUGUUUCUCCGUCGCUGGCAGGCGAGAACUAUCGUCACUGCUCCCUCAGCCCGACCCCUCCUACCGAGCUUAUUUGCAUUGACGCAGCCGCCCGCCGCAGAAGGGGCAAGGACGCAAGCGCCGCUGGGCGUGGGAAAAAUGAAGCCGGUUGGGAGGAGAGAGACGUGGAGGCUACCUCUAGGGUCUGGAUAACAGCUCAGGUAACUCAAGUAAUACCAUUGUGACAUCAGAGAUAACUGAACCAGUCACCUCUACAGAUGUUGCAGAUACCAAAAAAGCAAGCACUGCAAACCCAGGAAAUUAAGGUUACUCUUUAAAGAAAUCCAAACAAGUGAAGAUGAAAGAGCUCUUUAUCAUCAGAAAUCUUCUCCUCAAAACAGAGAUUCAGCCCCACACAGAAAAUCUUGGGGCAGAGAGGAAAUGAUGAAAAUGAGUCCUGCAGCCUCACUGAGAGUAUCAAUACGAUAAUAAAAAGUGAAGGGAAGGAGAAAAUAUCUCUUCAGUCCCCUCUCAGUUCAUUGACUGAGAACCCAAUUUGAAUUUUGAACUAAAAUGGAAGAUGGAAAGGAAAAUUGCAAAAAGAGUCCUAUAGAGCAACGCCACAACCCACAAUCACUAGCCUAUACUUCUGAGACAAUGUUACAUGGAAACAAUUGAAAGGGUUGCUGUGACCGUACAACUUAUGUUUUUAAACCAUUCUUUCCUGUU